Long non-coding RNA from Mirounga angustirostris (Northern elephant seal), 628 nucleotides. RefSeq lists it as uncharacterized. The record is from RefSeq and is a predicted model, not a curated record. The transcript is spliced from 3 exons. NCBI's taxonomy places the organism in Eukaryota, Metazoa, Chordata, Mammalia, Carnivora, Phocidae.
UUGUUAAUGAGCUAGUCUAGGUCCACACUGGGUCUGAGUUGGGUCAGACCACGUUUUUUCCAGAUCUGCAGUUGCACUGAACUACAGGUCACUCUUCCUGUGUUAUCUCCUGAGAUGCUUUUGUUGUUGGAUAGGACCUGCAGUCAGACCAGAUGUCUGCCCCCAGCCAGCUGCUAUAGUCACAGUCGAACUGGCUGCAAGAUGGAAGACAGAAGCAUAAACUUGAAAAUGGGAACAGCCCGAAUACCAAAGUCACUGCUCAGAUGAGAGACACCCAAAAAGCCAGCAGAUCAGGAACAUUCAUACUUGAUUCUGAGAUUUGAAAAGAAAGCUAAAAGAACAUAUUCUGAAGGCUGGAAAUGUGGAACCUGCUGAUUUUAUAGAAGAAAAAUAAAAACAUUUAGAUAUCUGUCUGUUUACAUGUUUAAGGGAGUGCAUGUCAAAAUAAAAGUCAGUCCGGCUCUCAGAACUAUGUCUCUGUUUCUUUGGCUUCCUAAUAUUACUUAGAAAAAAAAAAAAUACUUCUUUUCUGGAAGUUAUAGGCCAAGAUGGAUUCUCUGAUGUUAUUGUUUGGUAUUGGUCUACAACUAGACAGCACCAUGAUGGUGCAAUGUGGUGUUAGCAGCCC